GUUAUAUGGUCAAGCGAAUAAGCGCACACGGUGGAUGCCUUGGCGGUCAGAGGCGAUGAAGGACGUGGCAGCCUGCGAAAAGUAUCGGGGAGCUGGCAACAAGCUUUGAUCCGGUAAUGUCCGAAUGGGGAAACCCACCCGCUUGCGGGUAUCCUGCAGUGAAUACAUAGCUGCUGGAAGCGAACCUGGUGAACUGAAAUAUCUAAGUAACCAGAGGAAAAGAAAUCAACCGAGAUUCCGUAAGUAGCGACGAGCGAACGCGGACUAGCCCUUAAGCUGAUUUGGUUCUAGGAAAAUGCUCUGGAAAGAGCAGCCAUAGAAGGUGAUAGCCCUGUAUCUGAAAGGGCCAUUUCAGUGAAGACGAGUAGGGCGGGGCACGUGAAACCCUGUCUGAACAUGGGGGGACCAUCCUCCAAGGCUAAAUACUACUGACCGACCGAUAGUGAACCAGUACCGUGAGGGAAAGGCGAAAAGAACCCCGGAGAGGGGAGUGAAAUAGAACCUGAAACCGUGUGCGUACAAGCAGUAGGAGCUCCGCAAGGAGUGACUGCGUACCUUUUGUAUAAUGGGUCAGCGACUUACUGUUCGUGGCAAGCUUAACCGUAUAGGGGAGGCGAAGGGAAACCGAGUCUGAUAAGGGCGCAUAGUCGCGGGCAGUAGACCCGAAACCGGGUGAUCUAGUCAUGCCCAGGGUGAAGGUGCGGUAACACGCACUGGAGGCCCGAACCCACUCCCGUUGCAAAGGUAGGGGAUGAGGUGUGAUUAGGAGUGAAAAGCUAAUCGAACCCGGAGAUAGCUGGUUCUCCUCGAAAGCUAUUUAGGUAGCGCCUCAUAUGUAUCCUCUCGGGGGUAGAGCACUGUUAUGGCUAGGGGGUCAUCGCGACUUACCAAACCAUUGCAAACUCCGAAUACCGAGACGGACUGUAUGGGAGACACACGGCGGGUGCUAACGUCCGUCGUGAAAAGGGAAACAACCCAGACCCACAGCUAAGGUCCCAAAUUCACUGCUAAGUGGAAAACCAUGUGGAAAGGCACAGACAGCCAGGAGGUUGGCUUAGAAGCAGCCACCCUUUAAAGAAAGCGUAAUAGCUCACUGGUCGAGUCGGUCUGCGGGGAAGAUUUAACGGGGCUAAGCAGUGAACCGAAGCUUGGGGUGCAUAACUUUGUUAUGCGCGGUAGAGGAGCGUUCCGUAAGCCGUUGAAGGUGGAUUGAGAAGUCUGCUGGAGGUAUCGGAAGUGCGAAUGCUGACAUGAGUAACGAUAAUGCGGGUGAAAAACCCGCACGCCGAAAGCCCAAGGUUUCCUUGCGCAACGUUAAUCGGCGCAGGGUGAGUCGGCCCCUAAGGCGAGGACGAAAGUCGUAGUCGAUGGGAAGCAGGUUAAUAUUCCUGCACCUCGCGUAAGUGCGAUGGAGGGACGGAGAAGGUUAGGUGUACCAGGCGUUGGUUGUCCUGGGGAAAGGCGGUAGGUUUGGAUCUUUGGCAAAUCCGGGAUCCUUUAAGACCGAGCACCGAGACGAGCCUUUAAGGCGAAGUCACUGAUACCACGCUUCCAGGAAAAGCUCCUAAGCUUCAGCUUACGCAGACCGUACCGUAAACCGACACAGGUGGGUAGGAUGAGAAUUCUCAGGCGCUUGAGAGAACUCGGGUGAAGGAACUAGGCAACAUGGCACCGUAACUUCGGGAGAAGGUGCACCCUUUUUGGUGGCUCGUGCGAGCUAUAGCUGAAGAGGGUCGCAGUAACCAGGCCGCUGCGACUGUUUAUCAAAAACACAGCACUCUGCAAACACGAAAGUGGACGUAUAGGGUGUGACGCCUGCCCGGUGCUGGAAGGUUAAUUGAUGGGGUCAGCCGCAAGGCGAAGCUCUUGAUCGAAGCCCCAGUAAACGGCGGCCGUAACUAUAACGGUCCUAAGGUAGCGAAAUUCCUUGUCGGGUAAGUUCCGACCUGCACGAAUGGCGUAACGACAGCGGCGCUGUCUCCACCCGAGACUCAGUGAAAUUGAAAUCGCUGUGAAGAUGCAGCGUUCCCGUGGCAAGACGGAAAGACCCCGUGAACCUUUACUAUAGCUUUACACUGAACGUUGAGUUCGUCUGUGUAGGAUAGGUGGGAGGCUAUGAAACCAUGGCGCUAGCUGUGGCGGAGCCAUCCUUGAAAUACCACCCUGUCGUGCUUGACGUUCUAACCUGGGCCCAUUAUCUGGGUCGGGGACCGUGUAUGGUGGGUAGUUUGACUGGGGCGGUCUCCUCCUAAAGAGUAACGGAGGAGCUCGAAGGUACGCUCAGCGCGGUCGGACAUCGCGCACUGUGUGCAAAGGCAUAAGCGUGCUUGACUGCAAGAUCGACGGAUCAAGCAGGUAGGAAACUAGGACUUAGUGAUCCGGUGGUUCUGUAUGGAAGGGCCAUCGCUCAACGGAUAAAAGGUACUCCGGGGAUAACAGGCUGAUACCGCCCAAGAGUUCAUAUCGACGGCGGUGUUUGGCACCUCGAUGUCGGCUCAUCACAUCCUGGGGCUGUAGUCGGUCCCAAGGGUAUGGCUGUUCGCCAUUUAAAGUGGUACGCGAGCUGGGUUCAGAACGUCGUGAGACAGUUCGGUCCCUAUCUGCCAUGGGCGUUGGAGAUUUGAGAGGGGCUGCUCCUAGUACGAGAGGACCGGAGUGGACGAACCUCUGGUGUUCCGGUUGUCACGCCAGUGGCAUUGCCGGGUAGCUAUGUUCGGAAGCGAUAACCGCUGAAAGCAUCUAAGCGGGAAGCGCGCCUCAAGAUGAGAUCUCCCGGGGCACAAGCCCCCUGAAGGAACCAUGUAGACUACGUGGUUGAUAGGUCAGGUGUGUAAGUACAGCAAUGUAUUGAGCUAACUGAUACUAAUGAUCCGUGCGGCUUGACCAUAUAACCU
This 2894-nucleotide ribosomal RNA is filed under the name Stenotrophomonas maltophilia. RNAcentral's name for it is "bacterial LSU rRNA". It matches the Rfam family "Bacterial large subunit ribosomal RNA". Lineage: Bacteria; Pseudomonadati; Pseudomonadota; Gammaproteobacteria; Lysobacterales; Lysobacteraceae. The record is from RNAcentral.